CCUACGGGAGACAGCAGUAGGGAAUCUUCCACAAUGGGCGAAAGCCUGAUGGAGCAACGCCGCGUGGGUGAAGAAGGUCUUCGGAUCGUAAAACCCUGUUGUUAGAGAAGAAAGUGCGUGAGAGUAACUGUUCACGUUUCGACGGUAUCUAACCAGAAAGCCACGGCUAACUACGUGCCAGCAGCCGCGGUAAUACGUAGGUGGCAAGCGUUAUCCGGAUUUAUUGGGCGUAAAGGGAACGCAGGCAGUCUUUUAAGUCUGAUGUGAAAGCCUUCGGCUUAACCGGAGUAGUGCAUUGGAAACUGGGAGACUGGAGUGCAGAAGAGGAGAGUGGAACUCCAUGUGUAGCGGUGAAAUGCGUAGAGAUAUGGAAGAACACCAGUGGCGAAAGCGGCUCUCUGGUUUGUAACUGACGCUGAGGUUCGAAAGCGUGGGUAGCAAACAGGAUUAGAUACCCCAGUAGUC
RNAcentral lists this ribosomal RNA (465 nucleotides) under uncultured bacterium. Its description in RNAcentral is "partial 16S ribosomal RNA". It matches the Rfam family "Bacterial small subunit ribosomal RNA", at positions 338 to 795 of the family's 1533-position model. The record is from RNAcentral.